RNAcentral lists this ribosomal RNA (484 nucleotides) under uncultured bacterium. RNAcentral describes it as "partial 16S ribosomal RNA". It matches the Rfam family "Bacterial small subunit ribosomal RNA", at positions 29 to 507 of the family's 1533-position model. The record is from RNAcentral.
AUUGAACGCUGGCGGCAUGCUUUACACAUGCCAGUCGAACGGCAGCGCGGGCUUCGGCCUGGCGGCGAGUGGCGAACGGGCGAGUAAUACAUCGGAACGUGCCCAGUAGUGGGGGAUAGCUCGGCGAAAGCCGGAUUAAUACCGCAUACGACCUGAGGGUGAAAGCGGGGGAUCUUCGGACCUCGCGCUAUUGGAGCGGCCGAUGGCAGAUUAGCUAGUUGGUGGGGUAAAGGCCUACCAAGGCGACGAUCUGUAGCUGGUCUGAGAGGACGACCAGCCACACUGGGACUGAGACACGGCCCAGACUCCUACGGGAGGCAGCAGUGGGGAAUUUUGGACAAUGGGCGAAAGCCUGAUCCAGCAAUGCCGCGUGUGUGAUGAAGGCCUUCGGGUUGUAAAGCACUUUUGGCGGGAACGAAAAGGACUGUGCCAAUACCACGGUUCGAUGACGGUACCCGCAGAAUAAGCACCGGCUAACUACGUG